Molecule: non-coding RNA, 24 nt
Filed under: Arabidopsis thaliana (thale cress)
Lineage: Eukaryota; Viridiplantae; Streptophyta; Magnoliopsida; Brassicales; Brassicaceae
Source: RNAcentral
AUAGGAUCAUGCCACGUGUCAAGU